This 410-nucleotide ribosomal RNA is filed under the name uncultured fungus. Its description in RNAcentral is "eukaryotic LSU rRNA". The stretch from base 1 to 125 matches the Rfam family "5.8S ribosomal RNA", at positions 30 to 154 of the family's 154-position model. The record is from RNAcentral. Lineage: Eukaryota; Fungi.
GCAUCGAUGAAGAACGCAGCAAACUGCGAUAAGUAAUGUGAAUUGCAGAAUUUAGUGAAUCAUCGAAUCUUUGAACGCAAAUGGCGCUCUUGGGCAAUCCCAGGAGCACGUCUGUCUGAGCGUCGUUUCUCACAUCCAAUCUCCCCGGAGACUGGGCCAUGAGGCGUCCCUUUGCCUUGCUGCAAACGGUCCCUUGAAGUAGAGCGAUCCCGAGCGUGCGGAUGCCUUUCGUGGCCCGUCCUCUCUCGGUGUGGUAGUAAUAUCUCACCAGAAGGGCGAGCGACGGCCGUGUUGACGCAAGUUCAUCGGAACGACUGGAACGGAAGCGCUCCUAACGGAGAGCUGACCAAUUAAGACCUCAGAUCAGGCGAGACUACCCGCUGAACUUAAGCAUAUCAAUAAGCGGAGGA